AGAUAUGGAGAACCAGACGAGAGGUAUGAUGGUUUUGUUUUUGGUGGUAAUGACUGCCAUUGGAGGAGAAGCAGCGUCGACUUCAUGUGAACAGAUGUGUUUUAUACGCUGCCACCAGUUCCCCGGCUUACUGAACUGCUUGCAAAUCUGUGUUGACAAGCUAUGCAAGCAUCAUCCACCCACAAGUAGUAUCUUUCCAUCUACAUCGCAUUCGCAGUAACUCUUUCUUUCUCUCUUUCUCUCUCUUUUGCAAGUAAUAUGCAUGUAUUGUAUUUACUUGUGUGUAGUAUGGUGAGUUGAUAUGGUUUAUGUGGUGUUAACGUAGGAUGAAAGACUAAAGGGAUGGAAGAAAUGCAUGCAUAGAGAUAGUUUCUCUAUUGUUUCGUGCUUGAUUUAUUUUUACUUUUACUUUUAUAUGUAAAAUAAAAUAUAUAAUAAAUAUCUUGAAACCUUUUGUGAUAUUUCUGAUUCACUCUAUUGCGUUAGGAACAUUAUUACUUUUUUACAUAUCCAUCCGUUCAACAACAAACAAUAUAGAGUGAGUGGGCUUUGCUUACCAAAAGCAAGAGUUUGUAUGG
Molecule: long non-coding RNA, 578 nt
Filed under: Capsella rubella
Lineage: Eukaryota; Viridiplantae; Streptophyta; Magnoliopsida; Brassicales; Brassicaceae
Description: long non-coding RNA (CRUB_LNC002699)
Source: RNAcentral